GACAGAGGGUGCAAACGUUGCUCGGAAUUACUGGGCGUAAAGCGCGUGUAGGCUGACCGGAAAGUCGGGCGUGAAAGCCCUGGGCUCAACCCAGGAACUGCACUCGAAACUCCCGGUCUAGAGUGGUGGAGAGGGUAGUGGAAUUCCCGGUGUAGCGGUGAAAUGCGUAGAGAUCGGGAGGAACAUCAGUGGCGAAGGCGGCCCUCUGGACCAGCACUGACGCUGAGGCACGAAAGCGUGGGGAGCGAUCCGG
RNAcentral lists this ribosomal RNA (253 nucleotides) under uncultured bacterium. Its description in RNAcentral is "partial 16S ribosomal RNA". It matches the Rfam family "Bacterial small subunit ribosomal RNA", at positions 524 to 776 of the family's 1533-position model. The record is from RNAcentral.